GGGUCUGCAGAUGCCAUCCAGGCGCACGGCGGGUAUAGUGGUUCCGCAACCUUGGGAUGUUCGGCUGAGCGCCUGCCUAACAUGGGAGCGCCUGCCUAACCCUCCUGACUGGAGGGUCAGCGGCGGGGAGUCCUGGCCUUCAAUCGGCCAUCGCCACGGCAGAAACUGGGGCCCGGGCUGCGUCCAGGCCCUUCCCCGUCCGUCCACAGGUCUCAUGGGCGCCCGGACUGGGGCUGAUGUAGUUUCCCGACCUCUGACACAUAGGAUCUGGAGAUUAAAGCUGCUCUGCUAAUAAUUAGGUUCCCACCUCUCAAGAUCAUUAGGAGCUUCUUUUCCAAUUCCUCUGUUUUGCAUGCAUUGGAAGAGCAAAUACCUACCAGAAUGGAUAACUUGAGAGAUGUGGAAAGAAAAUGGUGACGCCGAGGGUGACUGAUUUCCAGGUUUACAUCGGUUGCCCCAGGGGAAGUGCCUGGCCCCCAUCUGGUCCUUGCUGCUCUAACUUUGCCCUGUUAAUUGAAGAAAUGCAGGAUCUGGAGCUCAGGACCCACUACCUCCCCGGCCCACUGCAAGCUUGAACAUUUGAUGGUGGACACCCCUCCCUGACUUUGUAUUAUGUGUCACUGGUGUGGGGGUUACCUUCCCACUAUGUCUCCCAGAAGACAUGAGGGCACAGACUACAGUGCCUGUGGACAGAGGAGCUGUGGGGAUGGAAGUGUGAUUGCUUCAUUCAAAUGCACGCCCCGGUGCGUGUGCGUCUCUUCUGAUGCAGCUCCCCAUGGGCCCCUGGAUCCUCCUGGAAUCCCUGAUCCCUGUUGCUCCCUGGCGGAGUUUUCUAGUCCCUCUUACUUGAAGCAUGUCUUUCAGAGCCCGGCACCACCCAAGUUGGGUAUCUGAUACCCCAUCAGCCUGAGUCUCUUAAAGGCCUUUAUACACAUAUGUCUACACAUAGGGAUUUGGAUGAUCUCGGGAUCCCACAUCCUCGCUGUCCCCUGUCCCCCCACAACAUCCCACACCAAUACCUUUCUGAAGUUUUCUAGUCCCUCCUUUUUGUUUGUGGUCCUUAAAGCCCAGCCCCAUGCCUGACUUUGGUUCCCAGUGAGCAUUGUACAUUUGUGGAUAUUAAAUCUUUGGCAAAGUCAUUUACCUGGGCUGGAA
RNAcentral lists this long non-coding RNA (1155 nucleotides) under Homo sapiens (human). Its description in RNAcentral is "long intergenic non-protein coding RNA 1535". The record is from RNAcentral. Lineage: Eukaryota; Metazoa; Chordata; Mammalia; Primates; Hominidae.